GUGAUGGAAUCGGAAGACAUGCUUGUUUUAGAAACAAGUUAUUUAUUUAGUGAAGGUUCAAAUCCUUUCGUUA
RNAcentral lists this transfer RNA (73 nucleotides) under Phaeocystis globosa. It matches the Rfam family "tRNA", at positions 7 to 67 of the family's 71-position model. Rfam says of the family: Transfer RNA (tRNA) molecules are approximately 80 nucleotides in length. Their secondary structure includes four short double-helical elements and three loops (D, anti-codon, and T loops). Further hydrogen bonds mediate the characteristic L-shaped molecular structure. tRNAs have two regions of fundamental functional importance: the anti-codon, which is responsible for specific mRNA codon recognition, and the 3' end, to which the tRNAs corresponding amino acid is attached (by aminoacyl-tRNA synthetases). tRNAs cope with the degeneracy of the genetic code in two manners: having more than one tRNA (with a specific anti-codon) for a particular amino acid; and 'wobble' base-pairing, i.e. permitting non-standard base-pairing at the 3rd anti-codon position. The record is from RNAcentral. Lineage: Eukaryota; Haptophyta; Phaeocystales; Phaeocystaceae.